UCGUAAUCCAAAGGCUCCAAGAGUUUUGGUUUUUCCCGCUGCUGAAGGCGGCCGCUGGCGGUGGCGGCGGCCGUAGCCGCGCUGUGCCGCAGCUCCGCCGCCUGUCCCGGCCGCAGCAGGCUCCGCGUGAAGCGCCGCGUUCGCUCGCCGGCCAUGGGCGCCGGCACCCCGCGCUGCUGCCGCCGCUCCCCGCCCGGGCCGAGGCGCCGUCAGGAAGCGGAACUGGG
This 227-nucleotide long non-coding RNA is filed under the name Gallus gallus (chicken). Lineage: Eukaryota; Metazoa; Chordata; Aves; Galliformes; Phasianidae. The record is from RNAcentral.